AUCAGCUUUUAAAAAAUACUGGUUUUCAGGAAAUAAAUGACUAGUGCAUAGAAGCAGGUGUCUUUACACGGAGAAUCGACAGGCUGUAAUUUAGCUAAGCUGCCUGCAGCCUCCUUCUAAGAUUCUGGAAAUUUAGGUUGAGGAACUACAGUCUACCAGAGGAAGAAGAACCCUUCCUAGUGGAAAAGCGGUUUUAAAUGUAGGCACAAGGUUCGUGUGACUUACCAAUUGCAAAACCAACUCCAAAGUUCGGAGCUAUGAGUCCAUAAAUGUUUUUUGCAAAUGGAAUCUGUAAGAGGAAAUAAACAUUAUGCUAAAAUAACAAGAGAUCCAACUCUAAAUCAUCUCGGAAAGUCUUGAACUUGUGUUUUCUCUGAGCGUGGUAUGCCUGUUCCCUUCUGAAGAAAACAGGAGGAAGAAGGGUGGGGUUUGUGAAGAACCGGACCCUCCAAAUCUUUAAAAGUCAAAGCUUGAAACGAGUUUUAUGACCACCAUGAAAAACUUGUCACCGGCAUAUGUGAAAGAUCAGCCUAGUCCACCCUCAAGUUUUGACAAGAACAAGUAGGCCUCAUGAGGGAUGGAUAUUGGCCAUUGGUAGAAGAGAUUUUAUUCUAGAAAAACAUCUUGCUAUUGUUUCAGGUUGGUUGUCCUGAAGUGUUUAAGACACUGUCAAGCUUAAGAUGAUGCAGGGGAAAAGUUAAACUGUGAAAUAAAACAUUUUAAAUAAUUUCUGACAUAAAAUGAAAAUACACUCCUUGGAAAGUCUUGUCCAAACAUUUUUAAGAUGAUAAAAAAUUAGAAUAAAAUGAAAGCUGUAAUAAAACAUCAACAAACUCAAACGUAAAA
This 846-nucleotide long non-coding RNA is filed under the name Homo sapiens (human). RNAcentral's name for it is "non-protein coding lnc-PDZD8-8:1". The record is from RNAcentral. Lineage: Eukaryota; Metazoa; Chordata; Mammalia; Primates; Hominidae.